This 567-nucleotide ribosomal RNA is filed under the name Enterococcus faecium. Its description in RNAcentral is "bacterial SSU rRNA". It matches the Rfam family "Bacterial small subunit ribosomal RNA", at positions 973 to 1533 of the family's 1533-position model. Lineage: Bacteria; Bacillati; Bacillota; Bacilli; Lactobacillales; Enterococcaceae. The record is from RNAcentral.
ACCAGGUCUUGACAUCCUUUGACCACUCUAGAGAUAGAGCUUCCCCUUCGGGGGCAAAGUGACAGGUGGUGCAUGGUUGUCGUCAGCUCGUGUCGUGAGAUGUUGGGUUAAGUCCCGCAACGAGCGCAACCCUUAUUGUUAGUUGCCAUCAUUCAGUUGGGCACUCUAGCAAGACUGCCGGUGACAAACCGGAGGAAGGUGGGGAUGACGUCAAAUCAUCAUGCCCCUUAUGACCUGGGCUACACACGUGCUACAAUGGGAAGUACAACGAGUCGCGAAGUCGCGAGGCUAAGCUAAUCUCUUAAAGCUUCUCUCAGUUCGGAUUGCAGGCUGCAACUCGCCUGCAUGAAGCCGGAAUCGCUAGUAAUCGCGGAUCAGCACGCCGCGGUGAAUACGUUCCCGGGCCUUGUACACACCGCCCGUCACACCACGAGAGUUUGUAACACCCGAAGUCGGUGAGGUAACCUUUUGGAGCCAGCCGCCUAAGGUGGGAUAGAUGAUUGGGGUGAAGUCGUAACAAGGUAGCCGUAUCGGAAGGUGCGGCUGGAUCACCUCCUUUCUAAGGAA